RNAcentral lists this long non-coding RNA (1376 nucleotides) under Capsicum annuum. Its description in RNAcentral is "long non-coding RNA (CANN_LNC015614)". The record is from RNAcentral. Lineage: Eukaryota; Viridiplantae; Streptophyta; Magnoliopsida; Solanales; Solanaceae.
CGAGAUGUAGUAGCAAGGAUCUUGUUUCUUUUUUGUUCAACAUAGAAACAAGAAUGGAGAAGAUAUGUUUCUUGCUGCUUAUUAAAGUCCCUUUGCUCGUCCUUCGGAUAUUUCUUAAGCCAUUUCCCCUUUAUUUACGGAAAGAUCUAACUAAAGCCUUUGGUAAGCUGAAGCACAAAAGGAAAAAAAGAGUGACAUGACAAAUGAGAGCAUUGAUCUUCAUCUGCAAACUCUGAAAUUAUUAUAUUACUGUUAAUAUGCCUUCAAGUAUUAUGGUGAUUUGCUCUAAUCCGAAAUAAACUUUGUUUGCUCCAAAAUAUUUAGAUAUGAACAAAUUUAUGCCUCAAACAAGGAGCUAGCUAUCCUGAAUAAGAGAUCAAAUGAGGUAGAUAAGAGGAGUCAAAAUAAUAGUCUAGAUUUUGCUUUCCCAGCUAAAUUUAGUCAAAGGUAUAUAAUAAUCCAGUUCAACGGGGCAUUUCAAUUCAGUGCAAGUUGUUUCAAGAGUUGGCAAAACGUUGAGUUUUGAAUGAACAGUGAUUACAUGCUCACAUAUUUAUAACUAACAGACCUUAACGGACUUCAGAAUGCAACAACUACCAAAAGUAUUGCUGAAGCUAAACAGGCAGAUGGCAAUCAUCCUGUUCCAAACAUAGAGUUUUAAUAUAUGGUUAUUUAUAGAGCCAAGUUAGACCUAUAACGGAGACAUGAUACCAAUUCAUUCAGAAGAUGUCAAAUGUCUUGGAUACAAAUGAGGUUUAUGCAUAAUUCAUAGAUAUACUUGGAGACUGAAUACUUAUUUGAGACAGUCUGAAGUACUGCAGAUGAUACAAGCUCAGCAAGAGGUGGAAUGAAGCUGUUGUCACAAUCCAGAACAUGUGUAUUCUCAUAACAUCUCAAAGAGUUCACGGUUAAGUUUGCAACAAAGCAUCGUGAGGAGCCUGAAGAAAUAUUUGCUAAUUAACUGCAAUGCUUCCCGAAGAUGAUAAAUGACACACAGAGAGAAGAGAGGAGGGAGAAAGGAGAACCUUCAGCUUUAUUUCCAAGCAAUUCAAAUUAUGGAGAGCUUUUUUUAUCUCCAAAACUUUGGAACUUAGCUCUAUAUCACUGUGGGGAAUAUUGUCCAGCAAUGGUAUAACCGCACAUAUCAAGUACGGUUCUGCCUACAAAUUAUGUCAAAGUGAAGAUCUUCUUGGAUAUUCUGAUUGUGAGCAUAAGAGUGUCUAUAGUGCUUAAGCCAAUAUUCAUGGAAAAUGAUGCUACAAGAAACAUGAAGUAGAUUCUAUACUACUUAUAAUCCCCUAGGCCGUAUGCCAUUAAAUAACUUACUCGGUUGGUGUAACUACCUAUUAUUUAUUAAAGCGUAAAGUCGAAUACCC